This 45-nucleotide non-coding RNA is filed under the name Echinostoma caproni. Lineage: Eukaryota; Metazoa; Platyhelminthes; Trematoda; Plagiorchiida; Echinostomatidae. The record is from RNAcentral.
GCACCGCUGAAGAGACCCAACCAGGUCGAAACACUUGUGCAGUGC